Molecule: transfer RNA, 86 nt
Filed under: Catellatospora coxensis
Lineage: Bacteria; Bacillati; Actinomycetota; Actinomycetes; Micromonosporales; Micromonosporaceae
Description: tRNA-Leu
Rfam family: tRNA
About the family: Transfer RNA (tRNA) molecules are approximately 80 nucleotides in length. Their secondary structure includes four short double-helical elements and three loops (D, anti-codon, and T loops).
Source: RNAcentral
GCGGGAGUGGCGUAACGGCAGCCGCGCCAGGUUUAGGUCCUGGUGUCCGAGAGGACGUGGGGGUUCGAGUCCCCCCUCCCGCACCA